CAGCAGUAGCCGCGGUAAUACGUAGGGUGCAAGCGUUAUCCGGAAUUAUUGGGCGUAAAGAGCUCGUAGGCGGUUUGUCGCGUCUGCUGUGAAAACUGGAGGCUCAACCUCCAGCCUGCAGUGGGUACGGGCAGACUAGAGUGCGGUAGGGGAGAUUGGAAUUCCUGGUGUAGCGGUGGAAUGCGCAGAUAUCAGGAGGAACACCGAUGGCGAAGGCAGAUCUCUGGGCCGUAACUGACGCUGAGGAGCGAAAGCGUGGGGAGCGAACAGGAUUAGAUACCCCGGUAGUCCCUGUCUCUUAUAC
This 304-nucleotide ribosomal RNA is filed under the name uncultured bacterium. RNAcentral's name for it is "partial 16S ribosomal RNA". It matches the Rfam family "Bacterial small subunit ribosomal RNA", at positions 506 to 807 of the family's 1533-position model. The record is from RNAcentral.